AGAGUUUGAUCCUGGCUCAGGACGAACGCUGGCGGCGUGCUUAACACAUGUAAGUCGAACGGAAAGGCCCUUCGGGGUACUCGAGUGGCGAACGGGUGAGUAACACGUGGGUGAUCUGCCCUGCACUUUGGGAUAAGCCUGGGAAACUGGGUCUAAUACCGAAUAUGACCAUGCACUUCCUGGUGUGUGGUGGAAAGCUUUUGCGGUGUGGGAUGGGCCCGCGGCCUAUCAGCUUGUUGGUGGGGUAAUGGCCUACCAAGGCGACGACGGGUAGCCGGCCUGAGAGGGUGACCGGCCACACUGGGACUGAGAUACGGCCCAGACUCCUACGGGAGGCAGCAGUGGGGAAUAUUGCACAAUGGGCGCAAGCCUGAUGCAGCGACGCCGCGUGAGGGAUGACGGCCUUCGGGUUGUAAACCUCUUUCAGCACAGACGAAGCGCAAGUGACGGUAUGUGCAGAAGAAGGACCGGCCAACUACGUGCCAGCAGCCGCGGUAAUACGUAGGGUCCGAGCGUUGUCCGGAAUUACUGGGCGUAAAGAGCUCGUAGGUGGUUUGUCGCGUUGUUCGUGAAAACUCACAGCUUAACUGUGGGCGUGCGGGCGAUACGGGCAGACUUGAGUACUGCAGGGGAGACUGGAAUUCCUGGUGUAGCGGUGGAAUGCGCAGAUAUCAGGAGGAACACCGGUGGCGAAGGCGGGUCUCUGGGCAGUAACUGACGCUGAGGAGCGAAAGCGUGGGGAGCGAACAGGAUUAGAUACCCUGGUAGUCC
Molecule: ribosomal RNA, 771 nt
Filed under: uncultured bacterium
Lineage: Bacteria
Description: bacterial SSU rRNA
Rfam family: Bacterial small subunit ribosomal RNA
Source: RNAcentral